GGGGAAUUUUGCGCAAUGGGGGAAACCCUGACGCAGCAACGCCGCGUGAGUGAUGAAGGCUUUCGGGUCGUAAAGCUCUGUCUAGAGGGAAGAAAUGAUAAUCGGUUAAUACCCGGUUUUCUUGACGGUACCUCUGAAGGAAGCACCGGCUAACUCCGUGCCAGCAGCCGCGGUAAUACGGAGGGUGCAAGCGUUGUUCGGAUUUAUUGGGCGUAAAGCGCGUGUAGGCGGUUUGUUAAGUCUGAUGUGAAAGCCCUGGGCUCAACCUGGGAAGUGCAUUGGAAACUGGCAGACUUGAAUACGGGAGAGGGUAGUGGAAUUCCUAGUGUAGGAGUGAAAUCCGUAGAUAUUAGGAGGAACACCGGUGGCGAAGGCGGCUACCUGGACCGAUAUUGACGC
Molecule: ribosomal RNA, 399 nt
Filed under: uncultured bacterium
Lineage: Bacteria
Description: bacterial SSU rRNA
Rfam family: Bacterial small subunit ribosomal RNA
Source: RNAcentral